Molecule: ribosomal RNA, 468 nt
Filed under: uncultured bacterium
Lineage: Bacteria
Description: partial 16S ribosomal RNA
Rfam family: Bacterial small subunit ribosomal RNA
Source: RNAcentral
GACGAACGCUGGCGGCGUGCUUAACACAUGCAAGUCGAACGGAAAGGCCCUGCCUUUGUGGGGUGCUCGAGUGGUGAACGGGUGAGUAACACGUGAGUAACAUGCCCGUGACUUUGGGAUAACUUCAGGAAACUGGGGCUAACACCGGAUAGGAGCUCCUGCUGCAUGGUGGGGGUUGGAUAGUUUCGGCGGUUGGGGAUGGACUCGCGGCUUAUCAGCUUGUUGCGGGGGUAGUGGAAUACCAAGGCUUUGAAGGGUAGCCGGGCUGAGAGGGGGACCGGACAGAUUGGGACUGAGAUGCGGCACGGACCCCACCGGGAGGCAGCGGAGGGGAAUAGUACACAGUAGGAGGAAGCCAGAUGCAACAACGCCGCGUGGGGGAUGACGACCUUCGGGUUGUAAACCGCAUUCGCCUGUGACGAGGCGUGAGUGACGGUAAUGGGUAAAGAAGCACCGGCUAACUACGUG